Solanum pennellii is the source of this 1662-nucleotide RNA transcript. It is a transcript of the gene named U4/U6.U5 small nuclear ribonucleoprotein 27 kDa protein, with no coding region annotated. Lineage: Eukaryota; Viridiplantae; Streptophyta; Magnoliopsida; Solanales; Solanaceae. The record is from RefSeq and is a predicted model, not a curated record. The transcript is spliced from 3 exons.
AAACCUACAAACAGGCUGAGACGAAGAGUACAUACACAAUCCCUUCUUUGUAGAAAAAACCCCUCCUACUCCACUCCUCACUCUGCAAGGAACAAUGGCGGACCGUGAUCGAACUCGAGACAGAGACAGAGACCGAGACCGAGACCGAGACCGCGAACGUGAACGGGAUCGUGAGCGUGACCGAGAAAGGGACAAGGAUAGAGACAGAGAUCGGAAACGAGACCGGGAAGACCGUGAUCGGAGAGACCGUGAACAUUCUUAUACCCCUGACCAUACCAGAACUACUCGGCAUACUCGCUCUCGUACUCGUUCCCCUUCCACUGACCGUCACCGUCACCGCCACCGUUCUACCUCGCGUUCCCGUUCUCCUACUGACCGUCGCCACCGUCACCACCGCCGCAGGAGUCCCUCAGCUGAAAGUCCUCCAAGAAAAAGGCAUAAAGAUGAUGGUGAACGGGAUAAGGAAAGGGACAGACACAGAGAAGUUUCGGAUUUUGUGGAUGGGAUAGCCAAAGAACAACAGAAACAGAAGAAAAAGAACAAGGACAAGGAGAAUGUGAGUGGGAGUGGGGGUGUUGGUGAAGGAGGAGAAGAGAUGAUGGAUGAAGAUGAGAUUGAGAUGAUGAAGAAAUUUGGGAUACCAGUAGGGUUUGAUUCUACAAAAGGAAAACCAGUGGCAGGAAAUGAUGUAGGUGCUGUAAGAAAAGUCACCAAACGCCAGCCUCGACAGUACAUGAAUAGGCGUGGUGGGUUCAAUAGGCCCUUGCCUGCUGAGUGCAACCGCUGAGCUUUCCAGGUUCCUCAUACUCAGACCCCAUCUCUUUGGCUGAUGAUCACCUUUAUCCAUCUGACCAGAUAUGGGAAUUCUUCUUUUCUCAAUGCAUCCAGUCUCUUCUCCACACUUUCAGGCAAAGGAAAAAGAGACAUCGUAGGCAGGAAGAGCAUCUAGGACAGAGCUGAUUCGGGUCACCCUUCCUCCCAAGGAUCGAUACCAUGAUUUCCACCUUGUCAAUUUUUUCUCACACCUUUCUAAAGUUCCAGUCUGAGUUUCUUUGGGUUUUCUCCUUGCUCUUAAUGGCAUUCCAAGGUGGAAAUGCAUUUUCUGCCAGGCUUCUUAUAUGAGUCUGUCCCUUUGUCCAAGUAAUGGAGACAAUGUAAGAUAUCUUUAAUUGUCUGUCUAGGUUGUAAUGUGCUAUAUUUCUCAGAACUCCAUGAUAAUAGUACUCCAAUAGUUUCACAGUUUGCUGCAGACUGCAGACGCGCAGUAACAGAUGCACCGUUAAUUCAGGGUCCUGCCAAAUGGUUAGCUGGUUAAUCAAGUGCCCCUCCCUCCCUUUAAAGCAGUCAUUCUUGAACACCAUAUGUUAUCUCAUUGAGGUUACUGAUGUGAACAUGCAUUUGGCCAUCACAUCUUACGUUAUGUGUUCUCAGAUCUCUCCUCAAAAAGGCAUGUCUUCAUAAAUCAGCUUACAUUUGGAUUUGGCUAUACUGUUGCUCGCUAUGCGCACUCAAGUCUUGUAUUGAUCACUUUCUGAUACCUUUUAUGAUAUUUGUCCCCUUGGUUUAAAUGGUGUGGAAUCUGUCGAUUUGAUUCUUUAUGUUACAGAGUCAUACCCAGUUUGGGGCAGAAGUUUUUUAACUCCGGUGGGGUAGUGUGCAUGA